GUGUAGUAUGAAAGGAGAGACGUUUAGCACUCCCCUAGACAAGGAUGGACACAUAUACAAACUGGUAAGGCACGGUCGUCUUGUGACGACGCUUACCACAUUUUUUUU
Molecule: small nuclear RNA, 108 nt
Organism: Odontomachus brunneus
Lineage: Eukaryota; Metazoa; Arthropoda; Insecta; Hymenoptera; Formicidae
Source: RefSeq, a predicted model, not a curated record